UACGUAGGGUGCAAGCGUUAAUCGGAAUACUGGGCGUAAAGCGUGCGCAGGCGGUGAUGUAAGACAGUUGUGAAAUCCCCGGGCUCAACCUGGGAACUGCAUCUGUGACUGCAUCGCUGGAGUGCGGCAGAGGGGGAUGGAAUUCCGCGUGUAGCAGUGAAAUGCGUAGAUAUGCGGAGGAACACCGAUGGCGAAGGCAAUCCCCCUGGGCUG
RNAcentral lists this ribosomal RNA (213 nucleotides) under uncultured bacterium. Its description in RNAcentral is "partial 16S ribosomal RNA". It matches the Rfam family "Bacterial small subunit ribosomal RNA", at positions 524 to 736 of the family's 1533-position model. The record is from RNAcentral.